GAUCCUGCCAGUAGUCAUACGCUCGUCUCAAAGAUUAAGCCAUGCAUGUGUAAGUAUAAAUAAUUCUACUUUGAAACUGCGAAUGGCUCAUUAUAUCAGUUAUAGUUUAUUAGAAAAAAUGUACUACUUGGAUAACCGUAGUAAUUCUAGGGCUAAUACAUGAGUAAAUCCUCGACUUUGAAGAGGUGUGUUUAUUAGUAUGAAAACCAUAUGCUUNGGCAUGAUAGUGAGUAAUAAUAACCUUUCAUAUCGUAUGUUGAAAUAACGAUAGUUCUUUCAAGUUUCUGCCCUAUCAGCUUUCGAUGGUAGUGCAUUGGACUACCAUGGCAGUAACGGGUAACGAAGAAUUUGGGUUCGAUUUCGGAGAGGGAGCCUGAGAGAUGGCUACCACAUCCAAGGAAGGCAGCAGGCGCGUAAAUUACCCAAUCCUGACAUAGGGAGGUAGUGACAAUAAAUCACAAUGCGGGACUUUUAGUUUUGCAAUUGGAUUGAGAACAAUGGAAAAGAGUUAUCGAUAAACAAUUGGAGGGCAAGUCUGGUGCCAGCAGCCGCGGUAAUUCCAGCUCCAAUAGCGUAUAUUAACGUUGUUGCA
RNAcentral lists this ribosomal RNA (592 nucleotides) under Bos taurus (domestic cattle). RNAcentral describes it as "SSU rRNA". It matches the Rfam family "Eukaryotic small subunit ribosomal RNA", at positions 10 to 617 of the family's 1831-position model. The record is from RNAcentral. Lineage: Eukaryota; Metazoa; Chordata; Mammalia; Artiodactyla; Bovidae.